This 304-nucleotide long non-coding RNA is filed under the name Haliotis rubra (blacklip abalone). RNAcentral describes it as "uncharacterized LOC124272187, transcript variant X2". Lineage: Eukaryota; Metazoa; Mollusca; Gastropoda; Lepetellida; Haliotidae. The record is from RNAcentral.
GUUAUCUCAACCUCCGCAACAUCAACAGGUGGGCGACCAAGAAUAUCCCGGUCAGCUCGUGAAGCCGUCUCCAGGAAGAUGUUUAUCGUCUGCUGAACGACGCCAUCUGGUGGCAUGCAGUGUUUUGGCAGACGACUUCCGGUACAUCGGGGUCAUCAUGACCAGGAUCAAGAGCUGAGCUACUAAACCAUUCGAGCCUCGGUGGAGUUGGAACACAUCAUCUGACUGUAAACUACUCGCCCAAAGGAUAUGAAUCAAACAGAAAUCCUGUAGAUCUAGAAAUCCAAUAAAGAAAAUCAUCUGA